UACGAAGGGUGCUAGCGUUGCUCGGAAUUACUGGGCGUAAAGCGCACGUAGGCGGCUUUCUAAGUCGGGGGUGAAAUCCUGGAGCUCAACUCCAGAACUGCCUUCGAUACUGGAGAGCUUGAGUCCGGGAGAGGUGAGUGGAACUGCGAGUGUAGAGGUGAAAUUCGUAGAUAUUCGCAAGAACACCAGUGGCGAAGGCGGCUCACUGGCCCGGUACUGACGCUGAGGUGCGAAAGCGUGGGGAGCAAACAGG
Molecule: ribosomal RNA, 253 nt
Filed under: uncultured bacterium
Lineage: Bacteria
Description: partial 16S ribosomal RNA
Rfam family: Bacterial small subunit ribosomal RNA
Source: RNAcentral